This 69-nucleotide small nuclear RNA is filed under the name Erinaceus europaeus (western European hedgehog). RNAcentral describes it as "U4 spliceosomal RNA". It matches the Rfam family "U4 spliceosomal RNA", at positions 1 to 69 of the family's 138-position model. From Rfam's summary of the family: U4 small nuclear RNA (U4 snRNA) is a component of the major U2-dependent spliceosome. The structure of U4 snRNA from yeast and human has been reported. The record is from Rfam by way of RNAcentral. Lineage: Eukaryota; Metazoa; Chordata; Mammalia; Eulipotyphla; Erinaceidae.
AGCUUUGUGCAGUGGCAGUAUCGUAGCCAAUGAGGUUUAUCCGAGGUGCGGUUAUUGCUAGCUGAAAGA